Molecule: ribosomal RNA, 840 nt
Filed under: uncultured Algibacter sp.
Lineage: Bacteria; Pseudomonadati; Bacteroidota; Flavobacteriia; Flavobacteriales; Flavobacteriaceae
Description: bacterial SSU rRNA
Rfam family: Bacterial small subunit ribosomal RNA
Source: RNAcentral
CUCAGGAUGAACGCUAGCGGCAGGCCUAACACAUGCAAGUCGAGGGGUAACAUUGGAGCUUGCUUCAGAUGACGACCGGCGCACGGGUGCGUAACGCGUAUACAAUCUACCUUUUGCUGAGGGAUAGCCCAGAGAAAUUUGGAUUAAUACCUCAUAGUAUACACUACUUUCAUGAGUUAUGUAUUAAAGGUUACGGCAAAAGAUGAGUAUGCGUCCUAUUAGCUAGAUGGUAAGGUAACGGCUUACCAUGGCAACGAUAGGUAGGGGCCCUGAGAGGGGGAUCCCCCACACUGGUACUGAGACACGGACCAGACUCCUACGGGAGGCAGCAGUGAGGAAUAUUGGACAAUGGAGGCAACUCUGAUCCAGCCAUGCCGCGUGCAGGAUGACUGCCCUAUGGGUUGUAAACUGCUUUUAUACAGGAAGAAACAUCUCUACGUGUAGAGACUUGACGGUACUGUAAGAAUAAGGAUCGGCUAACUCCGUGCCAGCAGCCGCGGUAAUACGGAGGAUCCAAGCGUUAUCCGGAAUCAUUGGGUUUAAAGGGUCCGUAGGUGGAUAAUUAAGUCAGAGGUGAAAGUUUGCAGCUCAACUGUAAAAUUGCCUUUGAUACUGGUUAUCUUGAAUCAUUAUGAAGUGGUUAGAAUAUGUAGUGUAGCGGUGAAAUGCAUAGAUAUUACAUAGAAUACCAAUUGCGAAGGCAGAUCACUAAUAAUGUAUUGACACUGAUGGACGAAAGCGUGGGGAGCGAACAGGAUUAGAUACCCUGGUAGUCCACGCCGUAAACGAUGGAUACUAGCUGUUCGGAACUUGUUUCUGAGUGGCUAAGCGAAAGUGAUA